GGUUAAGCGACUAAGCGUACACGGUGGAUGCCCUGGCAGUCAGAGGCGAUGAAGGACGUGCUAAUCUGCGAUAAGCGCCGGUAAGGUGAUAUGAACCGUUAUAACCGGCGAUUUCCGAAUGGGGAAACCCAGUGUGAUUCGUCACACUAUCAUUAACUGAAUCCAUAGGUUAAUGAGGCGAACCGGGGGAACUGAAACAUCUAAGUACCCCGAGGAAAAGAAAUCAACCGAGAUUCCCCCAGUAGCGGCGAGCGAACGGGGAGGAGCCCAGAGCCUGAAUCAGCAUGUGUGUUAGUGGAAGCGUCUGGAAAGGCGCGCGAUACAGGGUGACAGCCCCGUACACAAAAGCGCAUGUGCUGUGAGCUCGAUGAGUAGGGCGGGACACGUGGUAUCCUGUCUGAAUAUGGGGGGACCAUCCUCCAAGGCUAAAUACUCCUGACUGACCGAUAGUGAACCAGUACCGUGAGGGAAAGGCGAAAAGAACCCCGGCGAGGGGAGUGAAAAAGAACCUGAAACCGUGUACGUACAAGCAGUGGGAGCACAGGUUUACCUGUGUGACUGCGUACCUUUUGUAUAAUGGGUCAGCGACUUAUAUUCUGUAGCAAGGUUAACCGUAUAGGGGAGCCGGAGGGAAACCGAGUCUUAACCGGGCGUUAAGUUGCAGGGUAUAGACCCGAAACCCGGUGAUCUAGCCAUGGGCAGGUUGAAGGUUGGGUAACACUAACUGGAGGACCGAACCGACUAAUGUUGAAAAAUUAGCGGAUGACCUGUGGCUGGGGGUGAAAGGCCAAUCAAACCGGGAGAUAGCUGGUUCUCCCCGAAAGCUAUUUAGGUAGCGCCUCGUGAAUUCAUCUCCGGGGGUAGAGCACUGUUUCGGCUAGGGGGCCAUCCCGGCUUACCAACCCGAUGCAAACUGCGAAUACCGGAGAAUGUUAUCACGGGAGACACACGGCGGGUGCUAACGUCCGUCGUGAAGAGGGAAACAACCCAGACCGCCAGCUAAGGUCCCAAAGUCAUGGUUAAGUGGGAAACGAUGUGGGAAGGCCCAGACAGCCAGGAUGUUGGCUUAGAAGCAGCCAUCAUUUAAAGAAAGCGUAAUAGCUCACUGGUCGAGUCGGCCUGCGCGGAAGAUGUAACGGGGCUAAACCAUGCACCGAAGCUGCGGCAGCGACACUGUGUGUUGUUGGGUAGGGGAGCGUUCUGUAAGCCUGUGAAGGUGGCCUGUGAGGGUUGCUGGAGGUAUCAGAAGUGCGAAUGCUGACAUAAGUAACGAUAAAGCGGGUGAAAAGCCCGCUCGCCGGAAGACCAAGGGUUCCUGUCCAACGUUAAUCGGGGCAGGGUGAGUCGACCCCUAAGGCGAGGCCGAAAGGCGUAGUCGAUGGGAAACGGGUUAAUAUUCCCGUACUUGGUGUUACUGCGAAGGGGGGACGGAGAAGGCUAUGUUGGCCGGGCGACGGUUGUCCCGGUUUAAGCGUGUAGGUGUGUGUUCCAGGUAAAUCCGGUUCACUUUAACACUGAGGCGUGACGACGAGGCACUACGGUGCUGAAGCAACAAAUGCCCUGCUUCCAGGAAAAGCCUCUAAGCAUCAGGUAACAUCAAAUCGUACCCCAAACCGACACAGGUGGUCAGGUAGAGAAUACCAAGGCGCUUGAGAGAACUCGGGUGAAGGAACUAGGCAAAAUGGUGCCGUAACUUCGGGAGAAGGCACGCUGACACGUAGGUGAAGUGAUUUACUCAUGGAGCUGAAGUCAGUCGAAGAUACCAGCUGGCUGCAACUGUUUAUUAAAAACACAGCACUGUGCAAACACGAAAGUGGACGUAUACGGUGUGACGCCUGCCCGGUGCCGGAAGGUUAAUUGAUGGGGUCAGCGCAAGCGAAGCUCCUGAUCGAAGCCCCGGUAAACGGCGGCCGUAACUAUAACGGUCCUAAGGUAGCGAAAUUCCUUGUCGGGUAAGUUCCGACCUGCACGAAUGGCGUAAUGAUGGCCAGGCUGUCUCCACCCGAGACUCAGUGAAAUUGAACUCGCUGUGAAGAUGCAGUGUACCCGCGGCAAGACGGAAAGACCCCGUGAACCUUUACUAUAGCUUGACACUGAACAUUGAGCCUUGAUGUGUAGGAUAGGUGGGAGGCUUUGAAGUGUGGACGCCAGUCUGCAUGGAGCCGACCUUGAAAUACCACCCUUUAAUGUUUGAUGUUCUAACGUGGACCCGUUACCCGGGUUGCGGACAGUGUCUGGUGGGUAGUUUGACUGGGGCGGUCUCCUCCUAAAGAGUAACGGAGGAGCACGAAGGUUGGCUAAUCCUGGUCGGACAUCAGGAGGUUAGUGCAAUGGCAUAAGCCAGCUUGACUGCGAGCGUGACGGCGCGAGCAGGUGCGAAAGCAGGUCAUAGUGAUCCGGUGGUUCUGAAUGGAAGGGCCAUCGCUCAACGGAUAAAAGGUACUCCGGGGAUAACAGGCUGAUACCGCCCAAGAGUUCAUAUCGACGGCGGUGUUUGGCACCUCGAUGUCGGCUCAUCACAUCCUGGGGCUGAAGUAGGUCCCAAGGGUAUGGCUGUUCGCCAUUUAAAGUGGUACGCGAGCUGGGUUUAGAACGUCGUGAGACAGUUCGGUCCCUAUCUGCCGUGGGCGCUGGAGAACUGAGGGGGGCUGCUCCUAGUACGAGAGGACCGGAGUGGACGCAUCACUGGUGUUCGGGUUGUCAUGCCAAUGGCACUGCCCGGUAGCUAAAUGCGGAAGAGAUAAGUGCUGAAAGCAUCUAAGCACGAAACUUGCCCCGAGAUGAGUUCUCCCUGAGACUUAGAGUCUCCUGAAGGAACGUUGAAGACGACGACGUUGAUAGGCCGGGUGUGUAAGCGCAGCGAUGCGUUGAGCUAACCGGUACUAAUGAACCGUGAGGCUUAACCUU
Molecule: ribosomal RNA, 2907 nt
Filed under: Salmonella enterica subsp. enterica serovar Mbandaka
Lineage: Bacteria; Pseudomonadati; Pseudomonadota; Gammaproteobacteria; Enterobacterales; Enterobacteriaceae
Description: 23S ribosomal RNA
Rfam family: Bacterial large subunit ribosomal RNA
Source: RNAcentral